Molecule: ribosomal RNA, 320 nt
Filed under: uncultured eukaryote
Lineage: Eukaryota
Description: partial 18S ribosomal RNA
Rfam family: Eukaryotic small subunit ribosomal RNA
Source: RNAcentral
CCCCUAGAUGUUCUGGGCCGCACGCGCGCUACACUGAACAGUUCAACAAGUCUUAACCUUGGCCGAUAGGUCUGGGUAAUCUUUGAACGCUGUUCGUGAUUGGGAUAGACCUUUGCAAUUAUGGGUCUUCAACGAGGAAUUCCUAGUAAACGCAAGUCAUCAGCUUGCAUUGAUUACGUCCCUGCCCUUUGUACACACCGCCCGUCGCACCUACCGAUUGAAUGGUCCGGUGAAAUCUCGGGACGGCGGCUUGGUCGCUUGCGUCCGACUGCUGAAACUUGAUUAAACCAUAUCAUUUAGAGGAAGGUGAAGUCGUUACA